GGCCUCUGUGGUGUAGUGGUAGCACGCACUCGCGGUAUGGGUGAAAAGCGGGUUCAGCUCCCGUGGAGGUCG
Molecule: non-coding RNA, 72 nt
Organism: Parelaphostrongylus tenuis
Lineage: Eukaryota; Metazoa; Nematoda; Chromadorea; Rhabditida; Metastrongylidae
Source: the annotation of a GenBank genome assembly